GUGAACGCUGGCGGUAGGCCUAACACAUGCAAGUCGAACGGCAGCACAGUAAGAGCUUGCUCUUACGGGUGGCGAGUGGCGGACGGGUGAGGAAUACAUCGGAAUCUACUUUUUCGUGGGGGAUAACGUAGGGAAACUUACGCUAAUACCGCAUACGACCUACGGGUGAAAGCAGGGGAUCUUCGGACCUUGCGCGAUUGAAUGAGCCGAUGUCGGAUUAGCUAGGUGGCGGGGUAAAGGCCCACCAAGGCGACGAUCCGUAGCUGGUCUGAGAGGAUGAUCAGCCACACUGGAACUGAGACACGGUCCAGACUCCUACGGGAGGCAGCAGUGGGGAAUAUUGGACAAUGGGCGCAAGCCUGAUCCAGCCAUACCGCGUGGGUGAAGAAGGCCUUCGGGUUGUAAAGCCCUUUUGUUGGGAAAGAAAAGCAGCAGGUUAAUACCCCGCUGUUCUGACGGUACCCAAAGAAUAAGCACCGGCUAACUUCG
This 489-nucleotide ribosomal RNA is filed under the name uncultured bacterium. RNAcentral's name for it is "partial 16S ribosomal RNA". It matches the Rfam family "Bacterial small subunit ribosomal RNA", at positions 29 to 505 of the family's 1533-position model. The record is from RNAcentral.